CUGGCGGCGAGUGGCGAACGGGUGAGUAAUAUAUCGGAACGUACCCANGAGUGGGGGAUAACGUAGCGAAAGUUACGCUAAUACCGCAUACGAUCUAAGGAUGAAAGCAGGGGAUCUUCGGACCUUGUGCUCCUGGAGCGGCCGANAUCUGAUUAGCUAGUUGGUGAGGUAAAGGCUCACCAAGGCCACGAUCAGUAGCUGGUCUGAGAGGACGACCAGCCACACUGGAACUGAGACACGGUCCAGACUCCUACGGGAGGCAGCAGUGGGGAAUUUUGGACAAUGGGCGAAAGCCUGAUCCAGCAAUGCCGCGUGAGUGAAGAAGGCCUUCGGGUUGUAAAGCUCUUUGUCAGGGAAGAAACGGUGAGGGCUAAUAUCCCUCGCUAAUGACGGUACCUGAAGAAUAAGCACCGGCUAACUACGUGCCAGCAGCCGCGGUAAUACGUAGGGUGCAAGCGUUAAUCGGAAUUACUGGGCGUAAAGCGUGCGCAGGCGGUUUUGUAAGUCUGACGUGAAAUCCCCGGGCUCAACCUGGGAAUUGCGUUGGAGACUGCAAGGCUAGAAUCUGGCAGAGGGGGGUAGAAUUCCACGUGUAGCAGUGAAAUGCGUAGAGAUGUGGAGGAACACCGAUGGCGAAGGCAGCCCCCUGGGUCAAGACUGACGCUCAUGCACGAAAGCGUGGGGAGCAAACAGGAUUAGAUACCCUGGUAGUCCACGCCCUAAACGAUGUCUACUAGUUGUCGGGUUUUAAUUAACUUGGUAACGCAGCUAACGCGUGAAGUAGACCGCCUGGGGAGUACGGUCGCAAGAUUAAAACUCAAAGGANUUGACGGGGACCCGCACAAGCGGUGGAUGAUGUGGAUUAAUUCGAUGCAACGCGAAAAACCUUACCUACCCUUGACAUGUCAGGAANACCGAAGA
Molecule: ribosomal RNA, 921 nt
Filed under: Massilia timonae
Lineage: Bacteria; Pseudomonadati; Pseudomonadota; Betaproteobacteria; Burkholderiales; Oxalobacteraceae
Description: bacterial SSU rRNA
Rfam family: Bacterial small subunit ribosomal RNA
Source: RNAcentral